Molecule: long non-coding RNA, 435 nt
Filed under: Mytilus galloprovincialis (Mediterranean mussel)
Lineage: Eukaryota; Metazoa; Mollusca; Bivalvia; Mytilida; Mytilidae
Source: RNAcentral
GUUUCAUUGAAAAUUCUAAAAGAAAAUACAGUUUUAAUGUGUUUUCCCAUAGGGUCAAUGUUAAACAUUUCUCCUGUUUCCAUGGCAAUGGCAGCCAUUUUGGAAUUUCUAAGUACUGUUGGUACCUCGGGGCCCCACCACCAACAUUUGCACAAAGUUUCAUUAGGUUGGCUCUUAUAACGAAAGAGUUAGAAUUUUGAUUUUCUUUUACAUUUUUUUAAUUUCCAUGGUAACCGCGGCCAUCUUGCACAUUCCAAAGUCAGGUGCACAACUUCACAUGGUGGACAACAUUAUAGCAUAGUUCCAUCAAGAUUGGUCCAUUCAAUUCCGAAAACUGUCUUGGACAAAAAGUGUGGAAGAAUAAAAAUAAGAAAAACUAGAUUUGCCAUUGCAAGCAAUAGCGGAUGGCACCCUUCCCCUAUUGCCAGGUGAGCG